Equus caballus (horse) is the source of this 5209-nucleotide long non-coding RNA. NCBI's taxonomy places the organism in Eukaryota, Metazoa, Chordata, Mammalia, Perissodactyla, Equidae. The record is from Ensembl.
CUGAUCCCACACAACCCGCAGCAAGUGGCCAGUGAGUAGAGAACAGCAGAGAAGCCAUGUGGGGAAGCAGCAGGGGGAAAUGCUGGCUCUGUGGCCUUCUGGCUGCGUGACUUCAGUCAAGUUACUUACCCACUCUGAUCCUCAAAUGCUCUAAGAUUCGCGACCUGCCCAGGCUCUGCACCUCCUAUGUUGCUAAGGCCUCCCGCCUCCUGGCUGGCCCCACACGUGUUCUCCAUGCUGAUGGCAGUGAGUGACAGUGAGGCGUUCCUUGGGUGAAUAGAAAACCAAGGCCACCUGGAGCCCGCCCCACAUCCUGCUCUGGGGCCUGAAGAGCGCGGGCACCCUCAGCCAGCGCUGCGUGAGACCGGCAGGGGCAGCAGAGGAUUGGAAAGACUCAUUGAACUUCACCUGGUGGGCGUUGAAGAUUAAACCCGAACCACAGGCAAAGCCCCUCUCUACGAGGCUCACGUUCUAGGGGGAAGCAGCAGAAGAAAAGCAUCGCUCCAAGCCCGCAGCUGCAGACGUCUCCCUGAGGAGCGUCCAGUCUUUCAUCACGCUGCGGAGGACAGGAUGAUCCAUGGCUCAGGAAUCUGCUUAGUCAAUAACUCAAUUCUGCAGCUGGGCCACAUUUGUAAGCAGUGAUAGCACACCCCAUGGGAACCCAGAAUCCAAUUAGGGCUACGGGCUGCAUCAUUUCUCAUCCCUCGCUCCGCCUUCCACAGUCCCCGGCCAUCCAUCUUUCUUGGCUGAAGACUCCCCGAGGUCUGCGGGGGAAACUUCGGACCCUCCUAUUGGGGGCCUGAGCUGCCCUCUGAUCCUCGCUGCAGCCACCGGUAUUGGAAUCAAAGCCUGAGGAGACAGGUUUUUCUUGGUCCAUGGGACUGGGGCACUCAGGAUAAUUCCAGGCUUUCAGCAAACAGAGACAUUUCCUUACCUCAAGCCCACUUAGUCUUGGAGGUCCCGGGUCUUUUCAAACUCACCCAUCGCCAGGAUGAUGCCCUGGUCCAUUGGUGUGAGGUUGCGUGAAUUGCUUAUGGGCAGCAGGUGUUGAAAGAGAGCUUGUUAGAAAAUCAGACAUGAGGAUGUUCACAAUAGGGAAAGCAGACCCCAAAGAGGUUUAAUUAGCUUCUUUCGCUCAAAAAUGCAAAUGUGCUAUUCGAUAAGGGCUACCUGGCUUGGCAUUAGGCCAUAAGACCAGAAGUUUCUGGAUAUUUUUGAGAUUCAUGCUCACUUCCCCAAUUCUAGGACUAUUGAGGAUUUUUUUUUUCCUGGAAAUUUCUGAUGGGCUAGAUUUGUUCCACGGGUUCGGCCUACUGGUUUUAUGAGGACCUCAUUUGUUCUACAACAUUUUUUUCCAGAGUUCAGCCCCUUUACUUUAUGAACUAGGUUAGAUAAGGGACAGCAGAUAUCUUUCAACUUGCAGGUCAACUCCAAUAGAUUUGGUGGUGGCUGCUUUAAAAACUGGGUCUAGAAGCAUUCAGAGUCCUAACUGGGCAUAGAAGGGAAGAAUGCCAUGUGCAUUUAGCAAAGCCCUCUGUGCCUGCCAGAGGGUGAGAGGCGGCAGGUGUGCCACAUGAUUUGUUAUCAUUGCACUGAACCAUCCUAAGCUCUGAGAGGAACCCUGUUAAAUAAGACAAGCAGAUCUGGCCCUUAAGUUGGUCUCAGUGUAGCAGGGACGAUGAGCUGGCAGGUGCUCCCAGGUCACUGAUGAUGCCCUGGUGGAGGCAGAUGCAAGCAUGAGUGUGCCAUACUGUCUGAGCACAUGGAAUUUGAAGCUGUUCAUUUCUCCGCAUAAAUCCUGCUUCUGAGACUUACCUGCUGGGUGGCAGGGGACUAGUCAUUUUAAAUGCCCCGAGCCACAGUAUCUUCAUCUGUAAAAUGAAUAUCUAUCUCACAAGGUGGUGGUGGUCAUUAAAUGACAUCAGAUUUGGAAGCAUUAGAUGCUUACCUUUUAGUAAGGAUUACCAGAAUAAGUACCGUUGAUGUGGAAACACAAAUAGGCCUCCAAACUUUGUCUUGGGUACAGAGAAGCCUCCACAGGGAGGUUCUGUUUUGUAUUGCAAGUGGUACCCAGGCAGCAUUCAGUAGAAGAAGACAGAGGCCACUCAACACAGGGGAGGACAUUCUGUCCCCUUGGUUAGGGAAACCUGAACUAUGGAAUAAAAAUAUAUAUAUGUUAGGGUCAAAAUUCAAAACAACUCUCCUGAAAUAAAGAAAGACUUGAAUUUACUGACUGAAAGGUAAAUUGAUACAGAGUGGUCAAUGCUGAGACAGAUCCUCAUAGAUGAAUGUUUGACUUCAAAGAGAAAAUUCUAAUGGUUUCCAGUGAAAAACCCUUCCUCCAAAAACCAGGUUUAAAAAAAAUACAAAGAAUCACUCAGAAACUCAAACCAAGAGCAGGACUUCCAGAAUGGCGGAAUAGGAACCUCUGAAGAUAUGCUACUCCAUGGAAGCAAGAGAAUAUUGUCAAAAAUUGUCACAAUCAACUUUUUCAGAGCUCUGGAAAUUUACUGAAGGCUUUAAACAAUCUGAAUGUCAUUUAUUCAGGAAAAAAUGGCUAAAUCAUGGUUGGAAUAGCAAGUUUUGUAGUGUUUUAACUUGCCUUAUUCCAUCCUUCUCUCCAGCUCCAUGGUUGACUUGAAAACUAAAGGUCUUACAACCAUGGUAGCUGUGAAAACCAGCAGCCUGGCAGCCAGUGGAAAGGAGAGAAAGAGUUUGGACCUUUCCAAAAAAACCCCUCCACAGAGAAUUGUCACUAUUUGAUCUGAUGGCUUCCUGGAAAAGCUCUCUUCUUAGGGAUUAUCUUUAGACAUGGUUCAGAGCUUACACUGUGCCAACAGCCCUAUUCUGAGGGCAUUUGUCAAAAACAAUCAGCAGCCUGGGAUGGCAAUACUAGUUAACAGGAAGCUGAUCAAAGCACUUAAAAGGAAAAACUGGGGAAUGAAAUAUUCAUAGGGGUUUGGAAAAGCUCUGGCAUAUUCCUGGAAUUCUAGAUGGCCACAUGCAUGUGCUGGGUUGUACACACGCCCAAGAAAGACUUGCAGAGGGCUUAACCUCUGAUUGACCUUGAGGCUCUGAGCAAGCAAGAAGCAAAAAUUGAGGCAAAGUCGUAAGUUGCUGCUGGAGGAUUGAAGACAUACCCCAACGCACACAAAGUUUCAUAGCAAAGGUGGAGAGACUAAGUGGUUCAAACAUUAAAGGAAAUCUCUGUCCAGUCAUUAGCUGACCACUGAACUAGCCAAGGAGAGACAUUAGAGGCACACAUGGCAAAGAAUGCAGACUUCAGGAAAGUCACUAAACAAACAGAAACAGCAGUAGCAGCAAUAACAAAAAUGAAAAGCGCAGCAGCAGCAACAAUAACGACAACAGCCUUGGAAGAAGUUUGAUUUUCAGAGUUGAUUGAUUUCCAGAGUUGAUUGAUUUCCAGAGUUGCCAUAUUGUAUUAUUUAAAAUGUCCAGUUUUCAAGAAAAAAUUAUGAGAGGUGCAAAUAAAUAGAAAUGUAUGAUCUAUUCACAGGAAAAAAGUGGUCAAUAGAAACUGUCACUGAGGAAGACUAGUGCGGGACUUGCCAUUAAAGACUUUAGGUCAGCUGUUCUAAACGUGUCCACAGAUCUAAAGGAAGCCAUAGCUAAAGAAUGAAAGGAAAGGAGGAUGAUGUCUCAUCAAAUAGAAAUAUAAUGAAGAGGCAGAAAUUAUAAACAAGAGCCAAACAGAAAUUCUGGAGUUGAAAAGUACAAUAACUGAAAUAAAAAAUUCACUAGAGAGACUCAACAACAGAUUUUAGAGAUUUUAUAGCCUGAGGAACAGAAAGAAGAAAAAUGAAUAGGGCCUCAGAGACCUGUGUUGCAUCAUCAAACAUACCAACAUAUGCAUAAUGGGAGUUCUAGAAGGAGAGGAGAGAUAGACAAAGGCAGAGCAAAUAUUUGAAGAAAUAAUUGCCAUUAGGUUCCCAAAUUUGAUGAGAAACAUUAAUCCACACACAUUGUCUAAGUUGGAUAAACCCUAAGAGAUCCACGUCUGGAUCAGAGUCAAACUGUCAAAAGACAAACACAAAGAGAACCUUCAAAGUAGCAAGAGAAAAACAACGCACCACUCACAAACAAUCCUCAAUAAGAUUAGCAGCUGACUUCUCAUUAGGAACCAUGAAGGGGAAGGCAGUGGGAUGGCACAUACUCAAGGUGCUGAAAGAAAGCCUGUCAACCAAGAACUCUAUAUCUAGCAAAACCACCCUUGAAAAAGCACAGAAGAAAUUUCCAGAUAAACAAAAAGUGAGAGAAUUCACCACUAACAGACCUUACCUACAAAAAGUACCAAAGGGAGUCUUUCAGGCUGCAUUGAAAGGACAUUAGGCAGUAACUCGAAUCCACGCAAAGAAAUAAAGAGCACUGUAAAGAUAAUUACACAGGUAAAUAUAAAAGAGAGUAGGAACUGGCCCAGUGGUGCAGCAGUUGAGUUCCCACAUUCUGCUUCCGUGGCCCGGGGUUCACUGGUUCGGAUCCCAGGUGUGGACCUAUGCACUGCUUGUCAAGACAUGCUGUGACACCAUCCCACAUAUAAAGUAGAGGAAGAUGGGCACAGAUGUUAGCUCAGGGCCAGUCUUCCUCAGCAAAAAGAGGAGGAUUGGUGGUAGAUUUUAGCUCAGGGCUAGUCUUCCUCAAAAAUAAAAGAAAGAAAAAAUAUAUAAAAGUGAGUAUAAUGAAUCUUUGUAAUUUUUUUCUUACCCUAUCUGCUUUAAAAGACAACUGCAUAAGUGAGGAAUUAUAAAACUGUGUCGAUGGGCUUAUAAUGUAUAAAGAUGUAAUUUGUGUGACAAUAAUGUACCUAAACAUUGGUUAACAUAAGAAAAUUAAUCAAAGUAUGUACUAUUAUUAAUACAAGGAAUGGCAAAAUCACAUAAUCUUAAGAGAUGCAGAAAAAGCAUUUGACAAAAUCCAACACCCUUUCAUGAUAAAAACACUCAAGAAACUAGAAAUAGAGGAGAACUUCUGAAACCUGAUAAAGGACAUCUACAAAAAACCACAUCUAACAUCAUCACACUUACUGGUGAAAGACUAAAUGGCUUCCUCCUAAGACCAGGAAGAAGGCAAGGAAGUCUGCCCUGACCGCUCUAUUCAAUACCGGAUUAGAGUCUAAGAUAGGGCAGUUAUGCAAAUAAAUAAGUAAGGAAAUAAAUAAAAAUAAUUCACAUCCAGAUUGAAGAGAAAGAAG